UACGUAGGGGGCAAGCGUUGUUCGGAAUUACUGGGCGUAAAGGGCUCGUAGGCGGCCAACUAAGUCAGACGUGAAAUCCCUCGGCUUAACCGGGGAACUGCGUCUGAUACUGGAUGGCUUGAGUUUGGGAGAGGGAUGCGGAAUUCCAGGUGUAGCGGUGAAAUGCGUAGAUAUCUGGAGGAACACCGGUGGCGAAGGCGGCAUCCUGGACCAACACUGACGCUGAGGAGCGAAAGCCAGGGGAGCAAACGGG
This 253-nucleotide ribosomal RNA is filed under the name uncultured bacterium. RNAcentral describes it as "partial 16S ribosomal RNA". It matches the Rfam family "Bacterial small subunit ribosomal RNA", at positions 524 to 776 of the family's 1533-position model. The record is from RNAcentral.